RNAcentral lists this ribosomal RNA (278 nucleotides) under uncultured bacterium. RNAcentral's name for it is "partial 16S ribosomal RNA". It matches the Rfam family "Bacterial small subunit ribosomal RNA", at positions 335 to 609 of the family's 1533-position model. The record is from RNAcentral.
AUGCCUACGGGAGGCAGCAGUGAGGAAUAUUGGUCAAUGGGCGAGAGCCUGAACCAGCCAAGUCGCGUGAGGGAAGACGGUCCUAUGGAUUGUAAACCUCUUUUGUCGGGGAGCAAAAAGGCCUCGUGAGGCCACAAGCGAGAGUACCCGAAGAAAAAGCAUCGGCUAACUCCGUGCCAGCAGCCGCGGUAAUACGUAGGUGGCAAGCGUUAUCCGGAUUUACUGGGGGUAAAGGGCGUGUAGGCGGGAAAGCAAGUCAGAUGUGAAAACCAUGGGCU